Long non-coding RNA from Sapajus apella (tufted capuchin), 765 nucleotides. RefSeq lists it as uncharacterized. NCBI's taxonomy places the organism in Eukaryota, Metazoa, Chordata, Mammalia, Primates, Cebidae. The record is from RefSeq and is a predicted model, not a curated record. The transcript has 3 exons.
AAAGUUGCUGUAGGUUAAUUGUGAAGCAGCUCCAAGAAUUAGAAUUGGCAUGCAGGCAGAGAAAGGAGACAAAGUGUAGAUGGGGAGAUGCUGGGGCUAGGGAGGGGGAAAGGAGGACGGGAGAAUAUAAAAGCCAGGGUGUUGCAAAGGGUUUGCUUAGCUGCCAGGAGCUCUGAAAGUGAGAAAACGCUACAUUACCAAGGUAGAAAAUCACUUAGAGCAAAGAGCAAAGAAAGCAUGCAACUCAAAACCGAAAGAAUCUUUGCUGAUGGAGGAAGACAUUGAAUAAGAGAGAUUUUAGAAAAUCUUAUAAGCAUAUGGUGUAACAUGCUUGUCUCCUGGGCUGUAAAUAUUGGGAAAGAUUCAUGGCAUUCACAUUGCCACAGAAGUACUGGUUUCCCCACAAAAAAACUGAGUGAGUUUGGAACUUCACAUGGGACUGUGAAUUAGUGAGCAAUGGCACGAAGUCUUGACCAGGUGAAGAAAUGGGUUACCUCUCUAGGUCCCUGAUCUUGAGAGACAUGGAAGAUGGAUCCUCCAAAUUUUUGGUGGAUACAGAGCCAGAGAUCAAGAUGCUAGAGAGAACAUGGAUUUAGGAAUCCUGAUGCAAUAUGAGUCUCUAUCAGAGAGUAAUUAAAAUCUCUGACGGGAUUCAUUCAAGUUUGAAAUAAUGGCUGUUUGAAGUAGAUGUUUGAGUGCUAUUGGAUAAUGUUAAUAGUGAAUAACUCAAAGUCCUCAGAAAAUAAAAAGUGGUUAGGAGAAUGA